Molecule: small RNA, 122 nt
Filed under: Carlito syrichta (Philippine tarsier)
Lineage: Eukaryota; Metazoa; Chordata; Mammalia; Primates; Tarsiidae
Description: Y RNA (ENSTSYG00000030187.1)
Source: RNAcentral
UGUAAUUUUGAUAAAAAUGUGUCGUGCAUAAAAAUAUUUUCUGUUACAACUAAUUGAUCACAGCCAGUGACAGAUUUAUCUGUUCCUUCUCCACUCCCAUCGCUUCACUUGACUAGCUUUAA